RNAcentral lists this non-coding RNA (90 nucleotides) under Syntrophobotulus glycolicus. Its description in RNAcentral is "c-di-GMP sequence". It matches the Rfam family "c-di-GMP-I riboswitch aptamer". From Rfam's summary of the family: GEMM was predicted in a large-scale screen for bacterial structured RNA regulatory elements. Lineage: Bacteria; Bacillati; Bacillota; Clostridia; Eubacteriales; Desulfitobacteriaceae. The record is from RNAcentral. RNAcentral also lists the same sequence under 1 other name.
UAUCGCUAAGGGCAAACCCGCUGAAAAACGGGGAUGCCAAAGCUAUAGGGUCUAAGGCGCAUCUAACGCUAUGAUAGCUUGGCUGCCAAA